GUGUUCUCCAGGGGCAGCUGCUGGGCCCAGCCUCCCCAGGGGCCUCAGAGCCCCAGGUGCCUGGGGCAGGCCUGUGGUGGGCGGCUGGAGGCAGAAGCAGCCUGUUUGCUUGUUUUUUGCACCCCCCACCCCCUGCAAACUGUUCAGUCUCAAGCCAGGCUGGUGCAAAGCCCCAGCUGUGGCUGCUGUGGCUCCUGGCAGCUUUGUCCCCACCGUGAGGCCACCCCGGGGGUCAGCAAAGGCAGUAGCAGCCUGCCUUGGGAUGAUGAUGGCAGUGUCGCUUUUUCUAGUACCUUCUACUAUGAGGGAAUGUGGUUCUUAAGACCCUCAAGGUGUGCUAAGGCCGGAGACCCACUUUCAGCAUGAGAACAGAGCUGCCCGGAGCCUGGGAUGCCACAGCACUGCCUGCACCGCUGAUAGCUGGGGGCCCGUGCUGCAGGACUGGAAGAGCCCUGCUAGAUAUAAAAGGGUUGCUAGCGAGGCAAACGGAUGCCCUUCCAGGCUGGGCACGCUGCUUUUUCUCUUUCCUAAUUGCAGUGCUUGCUUGGGGACUUCAAGGGAAGGCUCUUGGCUGGUGGUCUGAGUGACCCCAGGCUCCGAGAGGGCAGGCAGCGCUGGGGAGGAGGUGGGAGAUGCAGGCAGGCCCGGAGCAGGGCGUGCGGUGGCUCAGUUAAGGUCACUGCCUCCGCAGCCCCUCGGCGCUCAGCCAGCUGCAGCCCCAAAGGUCUAGGGCUUUAGGGAACCGAUCCAGGUUUGGGGGCGGGGAGAAAGUUCUGAGGCAGCUCCUCCCUGGACAGAGCAGGGCGACCCCACGCCGGGCCUGCAGGCUCCUACAGCUACUGCCCGCCAGGGGGCAAGGCGAAGGGCCCUACCAGCCAGCUGAGCGGGGGAUUGUGCUGUAGGCCCUCCAGCAGCUGCUCUAACCCCUGCCAAGCCUGGUGCACACCCUCGUGGCUCUGCACCAGCCGCUCUGCGGGCAGCUCCUCUACAGAGCCGGCCGAGGCCACGAUGCCAUAGAGCUCACAGAGGCUGUGCCGUGCCCGCCCCACUGGCUGCUGGAGCUUGGCGGGCAGGCCCUGGAGGCUGGAGGCCAGGCCACUGUAGGCCGUGUGCAGCUGCCGGAGAAGGCCGCAGACCCUGGACAGAACCCCGGCAUCCCGCUCCUGUGGGAGGAAGGCGCAAGGUUACAAGCCUCAGGGGUCUCUUGGGGUCUUCUCUCACCUCCCACAUUGGACCCGGGCAGCUCUGACUUCGAAACACCCAGAGCCCAGCUACUUCUCACCACCACAGCGUGACUCCUGAGGCCCGGCAGCACUUGCCUGGGUUUACGUCCCACUGUCUCCUCUGGCCCUCGCCCCCACCCGGUGGCCUGACCUCCCCCAUCAGAGUGAUCCUUUUAAAUGAAACCCACCUUGGAUCAGGCCGCUCCUCUGCCCAGAGCCCUCCAGGGCUCCCAACUCCCUUGGGGUUGAAGCCCAGGUCCGGCCCAACCUGCCCCAUCCCCUCCUCACUCGGCUCCAGCCUCCCAGGCCUCCUUCCUAUUCCUCCAACAUGCCGGGACAGUCCUGCCCCACGGCCUUUGCACAGGCCGUGCCCUCUGCUCAGAUCACACUCCUGCCCAUUCUGACGCAUUCCCUCUCUGUCAUUUAGACCUGACUUCAAGUGUCCCCUCUUCAGGGUGACCAGCCCCAGCACAGCCACUUCCUUAUCCUGGUACAUGUUCCGUUUUCCAAGCAUCAUCCAACGCGACGCCCUAUAUAUUCAUCUGUGAAUUGUCUUCCCCAACCAUGGCGCCCCCCCACCCACCAAGGGCAGGCCUGGAUAUCCAGGGUCUUCAGUAGCACUUAAAGGAACAAGUGAGACAUGAUGAGUCACACACCACAUCCCAUUUCCCAGCCCAGCAUCCUUCGCGCGUGGCCCUGAGCAAAACUCUUCUCUUCCUGUGGCCUCCCUCUCCCCUUCUGAAGAGUGCCUGGGCUGAGUUCUGGCCCAGGCUACUUUGCUGUGAGCAUUCAAAGGUGGGAAAAUGCUUUGUGAUCAGCUGCUUGCAGCAUGCCGCGAGGGUGGGCCCAUUCCUUCAUUCCUCCAUGGCGUUUACAGGAACGCCUUCCAACUGCGCCAUUGUACCGCGUGCCAGAGGCACGGCAGCGACUGUGCACCUGGGGGUGGCCAGUGACAUGAGGUGUCCUGAGGGUCCCUAGGACAGACUUGCCCUUGGCACUGUGGACACGGGGGCCGGAUGGUUCUCUGGGGUGGGGCCACCCUGGGCACUGCAGGGUGCUGAGCAGCGUCCCUACUCUCCACCAGGGGCUUCCCCCAGUUGUGACAACCACAGAUGUCCCCAGACAUGGACUAGUGUCCCCUGGAGGCAGGUCAUCCACACUGAGAACCCUGGGUUAGACCCUCAAACUGCGGCUUGUCACAGACCCCGGAUGUUGAUUGAAAACACAGUGGCCUGGGCUGCAUGCCAGGAAUCCUGACCGAGGGCAGCAUCUCAAGGUUUCUCACGGCCCGCCGGGGUGGGACUACUGUCCACCAACAUGUAAAACCUGUGACUGCUGGGCACGGUGGCUCACGCCUGUCAUCCCAGCACUUUGGGAGGCCAAGGCAAGAGGAUCGCUGGAGCGCAGAAGCUCAAGACCAGCCUGGGCUACAUAGGGAGGCCCCAUCUCUACAAAAAAUUUAACCAGGUUUGGUAGUGUGCACCCAGAGGCUGAGGCAGGAGGAUCACUUGAACCCAGGAGUUUAAGACCAGCCUGGGCAACAUAGCAAAAUCUAAUCUCUACUAAAAAUACAACAAAUAGUAGCUGGGCGUGGUGGUGCAUGCCAGUUGUCCAGCUGCUUGGGAGGCUGAGGUGGGAGGAUCUCUUGACCCCAGUAGGUUGAAGCUGCAGUGGGCCAUGAUCAAGCCACUGUAGUCCAGCCUGGGUGGCAGAGCAAGACCCUGUCUCACUGUCUCCAAAACACAAACCCCUAGAGCAGUCCUGUGAGAUUUCUGCCUCCCGGGCUGCACAACAGCUUCUAGAGGAAAUGUUGGCCCUCAGGACUGGGGACAGGGAGACUGGAGGCCAGGGACGCUGCUCAGCUCCCUGCAGGGACCAGGAUGAU
RNAcentral lists this long non-coding RNA (3108 nucleotides) under Pan troglodytes (chimpanzee). RNAcentral describes it as "long non-coding RNA NONPTRT007918". Lineage: Eukaryota; Metazoa; Chordata; Mammalia; Primates; Hominidae. The record is from RNAcentral.